GUUUACAACUCCCAAACCCAAUGUGAACGUUACCAAACUGUUGCCUCGGCGGGAUCUCUGCCCCGGGUGCGUCGCAGCCCCGGACCAAGGCGCCCGCCGGAGGACCAACCAAAACUCUUUUUGUAUACCCCCUCGCGGGUUUUUUAUAAUCUGAGCCUUCUCGGCGCCUCUCGUAGGCGUUUCGAAAAUGAAUCAAAACUUUCAACAACGGAUCUCUUGGUUCUGGCAUCGAUGAAGAACGCAGCGAAAUGCGAUAAGUAAUGUGAAUUGCAGAAUUCAGUGAAUCAUCGAAUCUUUGAACGCACAUUGCGCCCGCCAGUAUUCUGGCGGGCAUGCCUGUCCGAGCGUCAUUUCAACCCUCGAACCCCUCCGGGGGGUCGGGGUUGGGGAUCGGCCCUCCCUUAGCGGGUGGCCGUCUCCGAAAUACAGUGGCGGUCUCGCCGCAGCCUCUCCUGCGCAGUAGUUUGCACACUCGCAUCGGGAGCGCGGCGCGUCCACAGCCGUUAAACACCCAACUUCUGAAAUGUUGACCUCGGAUCAGGUAGGAAUACCCGCUGAACUUAAGCAUAUCAAUAAGCGGAGGAAAAGAAACCAACAGGGAUUGCCCCAGUAACGGCGAGUGAAGCGGCAACAGCUCAAAUUUGAAAUCUGGCCCCUAGGGUCCGAGUUGUAAUUUGUAGAGGAUGCUUUUGGUGAGGUGCCGCCCGAGUUCCCUGGAACGGGACGCCACAGAGGGUGAGAGCCCNCGUCUGGCUGGCCGCCGAGCCUCUGUAAAGCUCCUUCGACGAGUCGAGUAGUUUGGGGAAUGCUGCUCAAAAUGGGANGUAUAUGUCUUCUAAA
RNAcentral lists this ribosomal RNA (840 nucleotides) under fungal endophyte. Its description in RNAcentral is "eukaryotic LSU rRNA". The stretch from base 528 to 840 matches the Rfam family "Eukaryotic large subunit ribosomal RNA", at positions 1 to 314 of the family's 3401-position model. The record is from RNAcentral. Lineage: Eukaryota; Fungi.